RNAcentral lists this long non-coding RNA (211 nucleotides) under Elaeis guineensis (African oil palm). RNAcentral describes it as "long non-coding RNA (EGUI_LNC061344)". The record is from RNAcentral. Lineage: Eukaryota; Viridiplantae; Streptophyta; Magnoliopsida; Arecales; Arecaceae.
UUUCAGAUCAGAGGAAAAGAGUUUUUUUUAACCUUUCUUUAGCAUCCAGCAAUCUCUGAAGAUCCAUCUUCAACCUCAGAAGGGUUCGAGGUGAUUCCAAAAGAAGAUCUAUUCAAAUUAGCCAACAGGAGCAGUCUUCACGAGCUAGCACUUUUGGAGACAACAGAUCGAAAUGAGGACUUCAUGUGGAUGAUUCGUAGAGGUCGGAUGC